RNAcentral lists this ribosomal RNA (482 nucleotides) under uncultured bacterium. RNAcentral's name for it is "partial 16S ribosomal RNA". It matches the Rfam family "Bacterial small subunit ribosomal RNA", at positions 30 to 507 of the family's 1533-position model. The record is from RNAcentral.
AUUGAACGCUGGCGGCAUGCCUUACACAUGCAAAUCGAACGGUAACGGGCCUUCGGGUGCCGACGAGUGGCGAACGGGUGAGUAAUACAUCGGAACGUGCCCGAUCGUGGGGGAUAACGAGGCGAAAGCUUUGCUAAUACCGCAUACGAUCUACGGAUGAAAGCAGGGGACCGCAAGGCCUUGCGCGGACGGAGCGGCCGAUGGCAGAUUAGGUAGUUGGUGGGAUAAAAGCUUACCAAGCCGACGAUCUGUAGCUGGUCUGAGAGGAUGAUCAGCCACACUGGGACUGAGACACGGCCCAGACUCCUACGGGAGGCAGCAGUGGGGAAUUUUGGACAAUGGGCGCAAGCCUGAUCCAGCCAUGCCGCGUGCAGGAUGAAGGCCUUCGGGUUGUAAAAUGAUUUUGUACGGAACGAAAAGCCUUCUUUUAAUACAGGAGGGUCAUGACGGUACCGUAAGAAUAAGCACCGGCUAACUACGUG